UCUAGGGAUAAGCAGGGAGCCGCAUGUGAAGGAGUGCAACGCACGACGCACACAUGCGAGCGAGUCACUUAUGCCGGAUAUGACUGAUAGUAUAUGUUGAAAGACAUNUAGUAUGAGCGCAGAUCCGGCGAAGUAGAGAUACAGUAAGGGACUCAACCCAAUCACUUAGGUCGGCAUUCUGGAACAAUCAAUUUUGCAUUGUUUAGUUUUGAGAGGCCAUGUGCUUCUCUCAUCUGGAAUGAAUCAGAUGAAGCUCGUACCUUGACAACUGCAUAGAAAAGUAUUGAAGAAAGUACCUCUUUUUUUGUAAGAAAAAAGGGAGUACCUUAACGAACCGAAGAAACUCUAAUAUAUACAAGGUGAAGACAGCAGGAGCCGCAAGGUGAGAGCUGAUCUUAAAAAGACGUAAGUCAAGUAAGUAAGGGCAUACGGCGGAUGCCUUGGCCAUAUCAGCCGAAGAAGGACGCGAUAAGCUGGCGAAAAGCUGCGGU
Molecule: unclassified non-coding RNA, 491 nt
Filed under: Megasphaera cerevisiae
Lineage: Bacteria; Bacillati; Bacillota; Negativicutes; Veillonellales; Veillonellaceae
Description: 16S-23S ribosomal RNA integenic spacer
Source: RNAcentral